Molecule: ribosomal RNA, 392 nt
Filed under: uncultured Chrysophyceae
Lineage: Eukaryota; Chrysophyceae
Description: partial small subunit ribosomal RNA
Rfam family: Eukaryotic small subunit ribosomal RNA
Source: RNAcentral
GCUUGUCUCAAAGAUUAAGCCAUGCAUGUCUAAGUAUAAACUGCUUAUACUGUGAAACUGCGAAUGGCUCAUUAAAUCAGUCAUAAUUUAUUUGAUGGUACCUACUACUCGGAUAACCGUAGUAAUUCUAGAGCUAAUACGUGCGCACAACCCGACUUCUGGAAGGGGUGUAUUUAUUAGAUGGAAACCAAUGCGGGGCAACCCGGAUUCUGGUGAUUCAUAAUAACUUUCGGAUCGAUCCUCGGAUCGAUGCAUCAUUCAAGUUUCUGCCCUAUCAGCUUUGGAUGGUAGGGUAUUGGCCUACCAUGGCUUUAACGGGUAACGGAGAAUUAGGGUUCGAUUCCGGAGAGGGAGCCUGAGAAAUGGCUACCACAUCCAAGGAAGGCAGCAGG